GGCGGACGGGUGAGUAAUACUUAGGAAUCUGCCCAGUAGUGGGGGACAACAUUCGGAAACGGAUGCUAAUACCGCAUACGCACUACGGUGGAAAGUGGGGGACCUUCGGGCCUCACGCUAUUGGAUGAGCCUAAGUCGGAUUAGCUUGUUGGUGAGGUAAUAGCUCACCAAGGCGACGAUCCGUAGCUGGUCUGAGAGGACGAUCAGCCACACUGGGACUGAGACACGGCCCAGACUCCUAC
RNAcentral lists this ribosomal RNA (242 nucleotides) under uncultured Gammaproteobacteria bacterium. Its description in RNAcentral is "partial 16S ribosomal RNA". It matches the Rfam family "Bacterial small subunit ribosomal RNA", at positions 97 to 342 of the family's 1533-position model. The record is from RNAcentral. Lineage: Bacteria; Pseudomonadati; Pseudomonadota; Gammaproteobacteria.